RNAcentral lists this transfer RNA (127 nucleotides) under Hyphomonadaceae bacterium. RNAcentral describes it as "tRNA-Arg". The stretch from base 65 to 116 matches the Rfam family "tRNA", at positions 9 to 63 of the family's 71-position model. Lineage: Bacteria; Pseudomonadati; Pseudomonadota; Alphaproteobacteria; Hyphomonadales; Hyphomonadaceae. The record is from RNAcentral.
GAGUAGCUCAACUGGGUGAGGAGUGGUCCGCGCAGCGGAUGAUUUGGUCCGGGGGACCAAAUCAAGCGACGAACGCACCCGCCUUCUAAGCGGGUGGUUGCAGGUUCAAGUCCUGCCGGAGUCGCCA